UAGGCGAUGGAUAACAGGUUGAUAUUCCUGUACCACCUAUAAUCGUUUUAAUCGAUGGGGGGACGCAGUAGGAUAGGCGAAGCGUGCGAUUGGAUUGCACGUCUAAGCAGUAAGGCUGAGUAUUAGGGAAAUCCGGUACUCAUUAAGGCUGAGCUGUGAUGGGGAGAAGACAUUGUGUCUUCGAGUCGUUGAUUUCACACUGCCGAGAAAAGCCUCUAGAUAGAAAAUAGGUGCCCGUACCGCAAACCGACACAG
RNAcentral lists this ribosomal RNA (255 nucleotides) under Staphylococcus aureus. RNAcentral describes it as "partial 23S ribosomal RNA". It matches the Rfam family "Bacterial large subunit ribosomal RNA", at positions 1412 to 1662 of the family's 2925-position model. The record is from RNAcentral. Lineage: Bacteria; Bacillati; Bacillota; Bacilli; Caryophanales; Staphylococcaceae.